This 754-nucleotide long non-coding RNA is filed under the name Parus major (Great Tit). RNAcentral describes it as "lncRNA (ENSPMJG00000002966.1)". The record is from RNAcentral. Lineage: Eukaryota; Metazoa; Chordata; Aves; Passeriformes; Paridae.
UUUUUUUCCAGAAGUAGACACACAUUGAAAGACACUUGAACAAGGUCGUUUUGCCGUGCUGCAAAGUCCAACAAGAUUAUCAGCAAAAGCCUUAUCUGAAAUCCUCCCGUGUCAAACAGAAUAUUUCCACUGGCUGGAUGUAAUAGUGAAUGCAGAUCUGGGAUCUAGUCUCAAUCCAAAUCAGAGUGCAGCAAUCAACCACUCAACUCCAGAACUCUCCCUGGUGACACUCACGGGAUUUCAAACUGCAACCUCACAUUGGAAAUUUCUGCAUCCAAUUACCACUUAUCAGAGGCCACCAAUCUCUUAAACUUUAAUGGUUAAAGAAAACUCAAGUGCUUGGUUUACAAAGGCAAUAAACACCUUAAUGCUUUCAUCUUUGUUUUCUCUAGGAAAUUAUUUAAGAAGAAAACCCUUGAACAGUGAUCUCAGCAUUCAUACAGGAGUGAACUUCAGAUACAGUAAUUGCAUAGCUGUGAGCUAUGACGACUUUCCCAUGGGGGAGAAAUGACCUGGUAAUUCAAGAAUGACAAAGUCAAAAGUAAGGGGAUUUUGGAUCAAAUUUAGUGCCAAUGAAGCAUCAAAUUGACUGCACAGAACCAACUGUGGUGGUGGUGAGCUGUCCAAAGGUGCUGAAGGAGCUGACUUGUGUCACCAGGGAACUGCUCCCCAUCAGUGUCCAGAGCUGGAAGUCUGGAGACUGGAAGAGUCAAGUCUUAAAAGGUACAAAUAAAGAUGCAGAAACUUGAGAUCA